RNAcentral lists this ribosomal RNA (789 nucleotides) under uncultured archaeon. Its description in RNAcentral is "bacterial SSU rRNA". It matches the Rfam family "Archaeal small subunit ribosomal RNA", at positions 85 to 879 of the family's 1478-position model. The record is from RNAcentral.
ACGGCUCAGUAACACGUGGACAACCUACCCUGAAGAGGGGGAUAACCCCGGGAAACUGGGGAUAAUACCCCAUAGGCUAUGGAUGCUGGAAUGCUCUGUAGUUGAAAGGUCCGCCGCUUCAGGAUGGGUCUGCGGCCGAUUAGGUUGUUGUUGGGGUAACGGCCCAACAAGCCUGUAAUCGGUACGGGUUGUGGGAGCAAGAGCCCGGAGAUGGAUUCUGAGACACGAAUCCAGGCCCUACGGGGCGCAGCAGGCGCGAAAACUUUGCAAUGCGAGCAAUCGUGACAAGGGAACUCCGAGUGCCUGUAAAAUCAGGCUGUCCGCCAGUGUAAAUAACUGGCGAAGAAGGGGCCGGGCAAGACCGGUGCCAGCCGCCGCGGUAAUACCGGCGGCUCGAGUGGUGGCCACUAUUACUGGGCUUAAAGCGUUCGUAGCUGGCUUGUUAAGUCUCUGGGGAAAUCUUCCGGCUUAACCGGAAGGCGUCUCAGGGAUACUGGCAGGCUAGGGACCGGAAGAGGUGAGAGGUACUCCAGGGGUAGGAGUGAAAUCCUGUAAUCCUUGGGGGACCACCUGUGGCGAAGGCGUCUCACCAGAACGGCUCCGACAGUGAGGAACGAAAGCUGGGGGAGCAAACCGGAUUAGAUACCCGGGUAGUCCCAGCUGUAAACGAUGCGCGUUAGGUGUAUCGGUGACCACGAGUCACCGAGGUGCCGAAGAGAAAUCGUGAAACGUGCCGCCUGGGAAGUACGGUCGCAAGGCUGAAACUUAAAGGAAUUGGCGGGGGAGCAC